CUAAGAAUUGAACUAAUUUAAGAAUCAAUAAAUUGUAAAUUUAUUUAGAAUUUAUGACUCGCCUUUUUUUUUGGC
RNAcentral lists this transfer RNA (75 nucleotides) under Epiperipatus biolleyi. RNAcentral describes it as "tRNA-Tyr". Lineage: Eukaryota; Metazoa; Onychophora; Udeonychophora; Euonychophora; Peripatidae. The record is from RNAcentral.